Molecule: ribosomal RNA, 491 nt
Filed under: uncultured bacterium
Lineage: Bacteria
Description: partial 16S ribosomal RNA
Rfam family: Bacterial small subunit ribosomal RNA
Source: RNAcentral
AGUGAACGCUGGCGGUAGGCCUAACACAUGCAAGUCGAACGGCAGCAUGGUAUGAGCUUGCUCUUACGGGUGGCGAGUGGCGGACGGGUGAGGAAUGCAUAGGAAUCUACCUUUUCGGGGGGGGUAAAGUAGGCAAAAUUACGCCUAUAACCCAGUAGACCUACGGGAGAGAGCAGGGGCUCUUCGGACCUUACGCGACUGUAUGAGCCGAUGUCGGAUUAGUUAGUUGGCGGGGUAAUGACCCACCAAGGCGACGACCCGUAGCUGGUCGGAGAGGAUGAUUGGCCACACUGGAACUGAGACACGGUCCAGACACCUACGGGAGGCAGGAGGGGGUAAGAUAGAACAAUGGGCGCAAGCCUGACCCAGCCAGCCAGCGUGGGUGAAGAAGGCCUGCGGGUUGUAAAGCAAUUUUGUUGGGAAAGAAAAGAAGCAGGUUAAUACCCCGCUGUUCGGACGUUACCCAAAGAAUAAGCACCGGCUAACUUCGU